AGAGACAGCUCUUGAGUGGAUCCUGAGUACGACGGAGCACGUGAAAUUCCGUCGGAAUCUGGGAGGACCAUCUCCUAAGGCUAAAUACUCUCUAGUGACCGAUAGUGAACCAGUACCGUGAGGGAAAGGUGAAAAGCACCCCGGAAGGGGAGUGAAAUAGAACCUGAAACCGUGUGCUUACAAGUAGUCAGAGCCCGUUAAUGGGUGAUGGCGUGCCUUUUGUAGAAUGAACCGGCGAGUUACGAUUUGAUGCAAGGUUAAGCAGUAAAUGUGGAGCCGUAGCGAAAGCGAGUCUGAAUAGGGCGUUUAGUAUUUGGUCGUAGACCCGAAACCAGGUGAUCUACCCUUGGUCAGGUUGAAGUUCAGGUAACACUGAAUGGAGGACCGAACCGACUUACGUUGAAAAGUGAGCGGAUGAACUGAGGGUAGCGGAGAAAUUCCAAUCGAACCUGGAGAUAGCUGGUUCUCUCCGAAAUAGCUUUAGGGCUAGCCUCAAGUGAUGAUUAUUGGAGGUAGAGCACUGUUUGGACGAGGGGCCCCUCUCGGGUUACCGAAUUCAGACAAACUCCGAAUGCCAAUUAAUUUAACUUGGGAGUCAGAACAUGGGUGAUAAGGUCCGUGUUCGAAAGGGAAACAGCCCAGACCACCAGCUAAGGUCCCAAAAUAUAUGUUAAGUGGAAAAGGAUGUGGCGUUGCCCAGACAACUAGGAUGUUGGCU
This 718-nucleotide ribosomal RNA is filed under the name Staphylococcus aureus. RNAcentral's name for it is "partial 23S ribosomal RNA". It matches the Rfam family "Bacterial large subunit ribosomal RNA", at positions 386 to 1106 of the family's 2925-position model. The record is from RNAcentral. Lineage: Bacteria; Bacillati; Bacillota; Bacilli; Caryophanales; Staphylococcaceae.